GGGCGUGUGGCUCAGUGGUAGAGCGCACCCCUGAUAAGGGUGAGGUCGUAGGUUCGAUUCCUACCACGCCCA
This 72-nucleotide transfer RNA is filed under the name Pseudomonadota bacterium. RNAcentral's name for it is "tRNA-Ile". It matches the Rfam family "tRNA". From Rfam's summary of the family: Transfer RNA (tRNA) molecules are approximately 80 nucleotides in length. Their secondary structure includes four short double-helical elements and three loops (D, anti-codon, and T loops). RNAcentral also lists the same sequence under 1 other name. Lineage: Bacteria; Pseudomonadati; Pseudomonadota. The record is from RNAcentral.